Molecule: ribosomal RNA, 460 nt
Filed under: uncultured bacterium
Lineage: Bacteria
Description: partial 16S ribosomal RNA
Rfam family: Bacterial small subunit ribosomal RNA
Source: RNAcentral
CCUACGGACGGCAGCAGUGAGGAAUAUUGGUCAAUGGACGCGAGCCUGAACCAGCCAUGUCGCGUGAAGGAUGACGGCCCUAUGGGUUGUAAACUUCUUUUAUCAAGGCAUAAAGUGAGGCACGUGUGCCUUGUUUUAUGUACUUUAUUAAUAAGGAUCGGCUAACUCCGUGCCAGCAGCCGCGGUAAUACGGAGGAUCCGAGCGUUAUCCGGAUUUAUUGGGUUUAAAGGGUGCGUAGAUGGGUUGUUAAGUCAGUUGUGAAAGUUUGCGGCUCAACCGUCAAAUUGCAAUUGAUACUGGCAGCCUUGAGUACAGUUGAGGUAGGCGGAAUUCGUGGUGUAGCGGUGAAAUGCUUAGAUAUCAUGAAGAACUCCGAUUGCGAAGGCAGCCUACUAAUCUGCCACUGACAUUGAUGCUCGAAAGUGUGGGUAGCAAACAGGAUUAGAUACCCGUGUAGUC